GUCCCCAUAGCUCAGUGGAUUAGAGCGUCUCCCUCCGGAGGAGAAGGUCGAAGGUUCGAGUCCUUCUGGGGACGCCA
RNAcentral lists this transfer RNA (77 nucleotides) under Candidatus Doudnaibacteriota bacterium. Its description in RNAcentral is "Candidatus Doudnabacteria bacterium tRNA-Arg". It matches the Rfam family "tRNA". Rfam says of the family: Transfer RNA (tRNA) molecules are approximately 80 nucleotides in length. Their secondary structure includes four short double-helical elements and three loops (D, anti-codon, and T loops). Further hydrogen bonds mediate the characteristic L-shaped molecular structure. tRNAs have two regions of fundamental functional importance: the anti-codon, which is responsible for specific mRNA codon recognition, and the 3' end, to which the tRNAs corresponding amino acid is attached (by aminoacyl-tRNA synthetases). tRNAs cope with the degeneracy of the genetic code in two manners: having more than one tRNA (with a specific anti-codon) for a particular amino acid; and 'wobble' base-pairing, i.e. permitting non-standard base-pairing at the 3rd anti-codon position. The record is from RNAcentral. Lineage: Bacteria; Candidatus Doudnaibacteriota.